This 423-nucleotide ribosomal RNA is filed under the name uncultured bacterium. RNAcentral's name for it is "bacterial SSU rRNA". It matches the Rfam family "Bacterial small subunit ribosomal RNA", at positions 28 to 433 of the family's 1533-position model. The record is from RNAcentral.
GAUGAACGCUGGCGGCGUGCCUAACACAUGCAAGUCGAACGAAGCACUUUUUUACGAUCCCUUCGGGGUGACGAAUUUGUGACUGAGUGGCGGACGGGUGAGUAACGCGUGGGAAACCUGCCUUGUACCGGGGGAUAGCAGUUGGAAACGACUGAUAAUACCGCAUAAGCGCACAGUAUCACAUGAUACAGUGUGAAAAACUCCGGUGGUACAAGAUGGUCCCGCGUCUGAUUAGCUUGUUGGCGGGGUAAUGGCCCACCAAGGCGACGAUCAGUAGCCGACCUGAGAGGGUGACCGGCCACAUUGGGACUGAGACACGGCCCAAACUCCUACGGGAGGCAGCAGUGGGGAAUAUUGCACAAUGGGGGAAACCCUGAUGCAGCGACGCCGCGUGAGCGAAGAAGUAUUCGGUAUGUAAACUUC